RNAcentral lists this ribosomal RNA (301 nucleotides) under uncultured bacterium. RNAcentral's name for it is "partial 16S ribosomal RNA". It matches the Rfam family "Bacterial small subunit ribosomal RNA", at positions 509 to 807 of the family's 1533-position model. The record is from RNAcentral.
CAGUCGCCACGGUAAUAGGAAGGGGGCUAGCGUUGCUCGGAAUGACUGGGCGUAAAGGGCGCGUAGGCGGCGGCCAAAGUCAGGCGUGAAAUUCCCGGGCUCAACCUGGGGGCUGCGCUUGAUACUUGGUUGCUUGAGUGGGGAAGAGGGUCGUGGAAUUCCCAGUGUAGAGGUGAAAUUCGUAGAUAUUGGGAAGAACACCGGUGGCGAAGGCGGCGACCUGGUCCUUUACUGACGCUGAGGCGCGAAAGCGUGGGGAGCAAACAGGAUUAGAUACCCCGGUAGUCCCUGUCUCUUAUAC